GACGAACGCUGGCGGCGUGCCUAAUACAUGCAAGUAGAACGCUGAAGAGAGGAGCUUGCUCUUCUUGGAUGAGUUGCGAACGGGUGAGUAACGCGUAGGUAACCUGCCUUGUAGCGGGGGAUAACUAUUGGAAACGAUAGCUAAUACCGCAUAACAAUGGAUGACACAUGUCAUUUAUUUGAAAGGGGCAAUUGCUCCACUACAAGAUGGACCUGCGUUGUAUUAGCUAGUAGGUGAGGUAAUGGCUCACCUAGGCGACGAUACAUAGCCGACCUGAGAGGGUGAUCGGCCACACUGGGAAUGAGAAACGGCCCAGACUCCUACGGGAGGCAGCAGUAGGGAAUUUUCGGCAAUUGGGGCAACCCUGACCGAGCAACGCCGCGUGAGUGAAGAAGGUUUUCGGACCGUAAAGCUCUGUUGUAAGUCAAGAACGGGUGUGAGAGUGGAAAGUUCACACUGUGACGGUAGCUUACCAGAAAGGGACGGCUAACUACGUG
RNAcentral lists this ribosomal RNA (497 nucleotides) under uncultured bacterium. RNAcentral describes it as "partial 16S ribosomal RNA". It matches the Rfam family "Bacterial small subunit ribosomal RNA", at positions 28 to 507 of the family's 1533-position model. The record is from RNAcentral.